This 565-nucleotide ribosomal RNA is filed under the name Enterobacter ludwigii. RNAcentral describes it as "bacterial SSU rRNA". It matches the Rfam family "Bacterial small subunit ribosomal RNA", at positions 53 to 612 of the family's 1533-position model. Lineage: Bacteria; Pseudomonadati; Pseudomonadota; Gammaproteobacteria; Enterobacterales; Enterobacteriaceae. The record is from RNAcentral.
ACCUGCAGUCGACGGUAGCACAGAAGCUUGCUCUCGGGUGAGGAGUGGCGGACGGGUGAGUAAUGUCUGGGAAACUGCCUGAUGGAGGGGGAUAACUACUGGAAACGGUAGCUAAUACCGCAUAACGUCGCAAGACCAAAAAGGGGGACCUUCGGGCCUCUUGCCAUCAGAUGUGCCCAGAUGGGAUUAGCUAGUAGGUGGGGUAACGGCUCACCUAGGCGACGAUCCCUAGCUGGUCUGAGAGGAUGACCAGCCACACUGGAACUGAGACACGGUCCAGACUCCUACGGGAGGCAGCAGUGGGGAAUAUUGCACAAUGGGCGCAAGCCUGAUGCAGCCAUGCCGCGUGUGUGAAGAAAGCCUUCGGGUUGUAAAGUACUUUCAGCGGGGAGGAAGGAGAUGUGGGGAAUAACCCCGGCAAUUGACGUUACCCGCAGAAGAAGCACCGGCUAACUCCGUGCCAGCAGCCGCGGUAAUACAGAGGGUGCAAGUGUUAAUCUCAAUUACUGGGCGUAUAUUUCUCGCAUACGGUCUGUUUACUCCGAUGUGUUAUCCCCCAGCUCAA